AGGAUAAACGCUGGCGGCGUGCCUAACACAUGCAAGUCGAACGCGCUUUCGGGCUUCGGUGCGAGAGCGAGUGGCGGACGGGUGAGUAACACAUGGGUACCUGCCUUUCAGUGAGGGAUACCGGCGAGAAAUCGCCGACAAUACCGCAUGGGCUUGUGGGAACACAAGCAAAGUGGCGCAAGCCACGCUGGAAGAUGGGCCUGUGGCCGAUUAGCUAGUUGGGGGGUAACGGCCUCCCAAGGCGACGAUCGGUAGCUGGUCUGAGAGGACGAUCAGCCACACUGGGAUUGAGAACGGCCCAGACUCCUACGGGGGCAGCAGUGAGGAAUUUUCCGCAAUGGACGAAAGUCUGACGGAGCAACGCCGCGUGCAGGAGGAAGGUUUCGGAUCGUAAACUGCUUUUCUCGGGGACGAGCAAGGACGGUACCCGAGGAAGAACGCCCGGCUAACUACGCGCCAGCAGCCGC
This 467-nucleotide ribosomal RNA is filed under the name uncultured bacterium. RNAcentral describes it as "SSU rRNA". It matches the Rfam family "Bacterial small subunit ribosomal RNA", at positions 26 to 518 of the family's 1533-position model. The record is from RNAcentral.